UACGAAGGGGGCUAGCGUUGCUCGGAAUCACUGGGCGUAAAGCGCACGUAGGCGGAUCUUUAAGUCAGGGGUGAAAUCCUGGAGCUCAACUCCAGAACUGCCUUUGAUACUGGGGAUCUCGAGUCCGGGAGAGGUGAGUGGAACUGCGAGUGUAGAGGUGAAAUGCGCAGAUAUCAGGAGGAACACCGGUGGCGAAAGCGGCUCACUGGGUCUUUUCUGACGCUGAUGCACGAAAGCUAGGGGAGCAAACGGG
This 253-nucleotide ribosomal RNA is filed under the name uncultured bacterium. Its description in RNAcentral is "partial 16S ribosomal RNA". It matches the Rfam family "Bacterial small subunit ribosomal RNA", at positions 524 to 776 of the family's 1533-position model. The record is from RNAcentral.